UACAGAGGUGGCAAGCGUUGUUCGGAAUUACUGGGCGUAAAGGGCGCGUAGGCGGCCAUCUAAGUCAGACGUGAAAUCCCCCGGCUUAACCUGGGAACUGCGUCUGAUACUGGAAGGCUUGAGUAUGGGAGAGGGAUGUAGAAUUCCAGGUGUAGCGGUGAAAUGCGUAGAUAUCUGGAGGAAUACCGGUGGCGAAGGCGGCUUCCUGGCCUGUUCUUGACGCUGAGGCGCGAAAGCUAGGGGAGCAAACGGG
This 253-nucleotide ribosomal RNA is filed under the name uncultured bacterium. Its description in RNAcentral is "partial 16S ribosomal RNA". It matches the Rfam family "Bacterial small subunit ribosomal RNA", at positions 524 to 776 of the family's 1533-position model. The record is from RNAcentral.